This is a long non-coding RNA of Paramisgurnus dabryanus, 939 nucleotides long. RefSeq lists it as uncharacterized. The record is from RefSeq and is a predicted model, not a curated record. Lineage: Eukaryota; Metazoa; Chordata; Actinopteri; Cypriniformes; Cobitidae.
GGGACAACCUGCUAGACAGGUUGAAGACAUCUGUAUCUACCUCAAAGAAGGCAUGGAGAGACACAUUAAAGAAUAUGUGAAUUGUGAAAUUGGUGAGUUGGGAAUUGCACAGACAGUGGAAGUUUUGGAAAACCUACUUGGUGUCACACAUGGGUGUGAAAUUACUUUUUGGACUCAUUUAUGCACUUAAACUGAACUACCAGAAGAACCUCAGGUGCACCUUUGACCUUUCAAAAAAUCCUAAUGGAACUGGACUUGAUACAACCAAGCAAUCACUGAAAGAUGCUUCAGUGAAUACCUGACAGACACGCUGAUGCAUCCCCCUCAAAGUGGGUACAUUUUUGUACAUUUACAAGUGAACUUUUUAACAUUAAAGGAAUAUUGCACUUUCAUUAAACAAAAAUACUGAUAAUUAACUGUCUGUCAUCCAAGAUGCUUGUCUUUUUUGUUCAGUCGGGAAGAAAUUAUGUUUUUUGAGAAAAACAUUCCAGGAUUUUUCUUAAUUUAAUAGACCUUAUUGGACCUCAACAGUUAUGUUUCAAAGCAGCUUUAAAGGGCUCUAAACGAUCCCAACCGAGGCAUAAGGGUUUUAUCUAUCCAAAAGAUUAUCAUUUUUGGCAAGAAAACUUUUAAAACACAACAACUUGUCUUGCAUUAUCCAUGUGACACACAGUGCGACAUUGUGUACUACGUAAUAAAUGUUUACACAUCACAAAUGUGAAACGCACAUUUGUUGACCAUUUUAAAUAAUAAACGGACCCAAAGACAUUAAUUAGUAUCAUUUCACAUUCAACAACAUCUGAACGCUCCUGUUUCUCCUCGCUUGUAAACACUGGAACGGUAGUUUCAGUUAUGUCAUGCUAGUGUGUCACACAGCUAGUGCAAAACGUUGUGAUUUAAAAGUCCUCUUUUAUUUUUAUUUUUGAAAAUGACAAUCGU